This 531-nucleotide ribosomal RNA is filed under the name uncultured archaeon. Its description in RNAcentral is "bacterial SSU rRNA". It matches the Rfam family "Archaeal small subunit ribosomal RNA", at positions 460 to 997 of the family's 1478-position model. The record is from RNAcentral.
AGCAGCCGCGGUAAUACCGGCGGCUCGAGUGGUGGCCACUUUAUGGGCUUAAAGCGUUCGUAGCUGGGUCGUUAAGUCUCUGGGAAAUCCGGCAGCUUAACUGUCGGGCGUCUAAGGGAUACUGGCGAUCUGGAACCGGAGAGGUGAGGGGUACUUCGGGGGUAGGAGUGAAAUCCUGUAAUCCUCGAGGGACCACCUGUGGCGAAGGCGCCUCACCAGAACGGCUUCGACAGUGAGGGACGAAAGCUGGGGAGCAAACCGGAUUAGAUACCCGGGUAGUCCCAGCCGUAAACGAUGUGCGUUAGGUGUAUCGACGACCACGAGUCGUCGAGGUGCCGAAGGGAACCGUGAAACGUACCGCCUGGGAAGUACGGUCGCAAGGCUGAAACUUAAGGAUUGGCGGGGGAGCACCACAACAGGUGGAGCCUGCGGUUUUAAAUUGGACUCAACGCCGGGAAGCUCACCGGAUAAGACAGCUGAAUGAUUGCCGGGCUGAAGACUCUGCAUGACUAGCUGAGUAGAGGUGCAUGG